GACGAACGCUGGCGGCGUGCUUAACACAUGCAAGUCGAACGGAAAGGCCCUGCUUUUGUGGGAUGCUCGAGUGGCGAACGGGUGAGUAACACGUGAGUAACCUGCCCUUGACUUUGGGAUAACUUCAGGAAACUGGGGCUAAUACCGGAUAGGAGCUCCUGCUGCAUGGUGGGGGUUGGAAAGUUUCGGCGGUUGGGGAUGGACUCGCGGCUUAUCAGCUUGUUGGUGGGGUAGUGGCUUACCAAGGCUUUGACGGGUAGCCGGCCUGAGAGGGUGACCGGCCACAUUGGGACUGAGAUACGGCCCAGACUCCUACGGGAGGCAGCAGUGGGGAAUAUUGCACAAUGGGCGGAAGCCUGAUGCAGCAACGCCGCGUGCGGGAUGACGGCCUUCGGGUUGUAAACCGCUUUCGCCUGUGACGAAGCGUGAGUGACGGUAAUGGGUAAAGAAGCACCGGCUAACUACGUG
RNAcentral lists this ribosomal RNA (468 nucleotides) under uncultured bacterium. Its description in RNAcentral is "partial 16S ribosomal RNA". It matches the Rfam family "Bacterial small subunit ribosomal RNA", at positions 28 to 507 of the family's 1533-position model. The record is from RNAcentral.